AGUAAUACAUAAGUAACCUGCCCUAGACAGGGGAUAACUAUUGGAAACGAUAGCUAAGACCGCAUAGGUACGGACACUGCAUGGUGACCGUAUUAAAAGUGCCUCAAAGCACUGGUAGAGGAUGGACUUAUGGCGCAUUAGCUGGUUGGCGGGGUAACGGCCCACCAAGGCGACGAUGCGUAGCCGACCUGAGAGGGUGACCGGCCACACUGGGACUGAGACACGGCCCAG
RNAcentral lists this ribosomal RNA (231 nucleotides) under uncultured bacterium. RNAcentral describes it as "partial 16S ribosomal RNA". It matches the Rfam family "Bacterial small subunit ribosomal RNA", at positions 109 to 334 of the family's 1533-position model. The record is from RNAcentral.